This 447-nucleotide ribosomal RNA is filed under the name uncultured bacterium. RNAcentral's name for it is "bacterial SSU rRNA". It matches the Rfam family "Bacterial small subunit ribosomal RNA", at positions 355 to 825 of the family's 1533-position model. The record is from RNAcentral.
UCGGGAAUCUUGGACAAUGGGCGCAAGCCUGAUCCAGCCAUGCCGCGUGAGUGAAGAAGGCCUUAGGGUUGUAAAACUCUUUCGCCGGAGAAGAUAAUGACGGUAUCCGGAGAAGAAGCCCCGGCUAACUUCGUGCCAGCAGCCGCGGUAAUACGAAGGGGGCUAGCGUUGUUCGGAAUUACUGGGCGUAAAGCGCACGUAGGCGGGUUUGUAAGUAGAGGGUGAAAUCCCAGGGCUCAACCCUGGAACUGCCUUCUAGACUGCAAGCCUGGAGGUCAGGAGAGGCGAGUGGAAUACCGAGUGUAGAGGUGAAAUUCGUAGAUAUUCGGUGGAACACCAGUGGCGAAGGCGACUCGCUGGACUGAUACUGACGCUGAGGUGCGAAAGCGUGGGGAGCAAACAGGAUUAGAUACCCCAGUAGUCCCUGAGCGGGCUGGCAAGGCGCAU